GAGCCCUUAAGAGUAGGGCGCUCACGCGCUUGUCUUUCUCUACGGCCAUCAUGGGGUCGCGUCCCUCAUCUCCUUGGGGCUGGUACCUUCACCGUGGCCUGCUGUUGGCGGUCUGGAGCGAUGCUGAGCCCAGGCCCAGCCUCUCAGCUCCGCCGUGGGCGCUGCACAGAUCUAGGGGUGCCUGACGGGACGUUGACAACGUGGAAUAGGAACAGUAUCCCACCAUGAGGUUGGGUACCUGAAGGUGGAAGAUGGGCCAGCAGCAGUGACCUCCCAUGAGGGUGUCCCUUUCAAGUUAUGAGAACUGCAAGGCCGUGGACUGUGCUGGCAGCAGCCAAAGAGAAAUGUCUCCAGCCAUCCCGGAAGCAAGUAUCCCAAGUGAUAUGUCUGCCAGUUUUGUUCUGGAUGGGCACGUUUGGUAAUCCUGUCUGUACCACAGGAUCUUCAGCACCUUUUAAUAAACUUUGUCUAUAAAACU
Mastomys coucha (southern multimammate mouse) is the source of this 478-nucleotide long non-coding RNA. RefSeq lists it as uncharacterized. The transcript is spliced from 5 exons. The record is from RefSeq and is a predicted model, not a curated record. NCBI's taxonomy places the organism in Eukaryota, Metazoa, Chordata, Mammalia, Rodentia, Muridae.